GACGAACGCUGGCGGCGUGCUUAACACAUGCAAGUCGAACGGAAAGGCCCUGCUUUUGUGGGGUGCUCGAGUGGCGAACGGGUGAGUAACACGUGAGUAACCUGCACUUGACUUUGGGAUAACUUCAGGAAACUGGGGCUAAUACCGGAUAGGAGCUCCUGCUGCAUGGUGGGGGUUGGAAAGUUUCGGCGGUUGGGGAUGGACUCGCGGCUUAUCAGCUUGUUGGUGGGGUAGUGGCGUACCAAGGCUUUGACGGGUAGCCGGCCUGAGAGGGUGACCGGCCACAUUGGGACUGAGAUACGGCCCAGACUCCUACGGGAGGCAGCAGUGGGGAAUAUUGCACAAUGGGCGGAAGCCUGAUGCAGCAACGCCGCGUGCGGGAUGACGGCCUUCGGGUUGUAAACCGCUUUCGCCUGUGACGAAGCGUGAGUGACGGUAAUGGGUAAAGAAGCACCGGCUAACUACGUG
RNAcentral lists this ribosomal RNA (468 nucleotides) under uncultured bacterium. RNAcentral's name for it is "partial 16S ribosomal RNA". It matches the Rfam family "Bacterial small subunit ribosomal RNA", at positions 28 to 507 of the family's 1533-position model. The record is from RNAcentral.